GUCUGUUUUUACUCCUUUUUCUUUCUUUUUCCGUGGGCAAUUUUUUACCCCUUUUUCUUCAUUACCCUAAACCCAUUCACAUUUAAAUAGGACCACUGAAAAUUUUCUAUAAUAAUCUAACUCAAUUAUGUCAACUAUCCUACCAUAGUACAUGACAUCUCCAAGGAUAGGGUUAGUAUCACCUGCAGAAGAGUAGCUUGAUGUUUUUGCGGUCACAACAACUCCACUAUUCUGAGUCACUUUGUCAUAACGCUUGGGUCUAAAUCUAUAUCCACGGAUGCAAAAGGCCCUAUGUUUUCUUGCAUCUUGAAGUGGACAACGGGCCAACCAUCUAAGAUCUUCAUCAAUGCUGUCAGUACCUCUUUGCUGCUCCAGCCGCAUGAUCUACACCAAAGCGAAACAUACAUAAGCUAAGACUCAAAUUAAGAAAAAAAAAACAUAGCAUGGAACUUACAUGAUCUCUAAACCAAUCAGGAAAUUUUUCAUGCUGCAUCCUCUCUAUGGUACUAAGUGAUAGGCGACUGUUGCGAUUUCUCCUUUUCAAUUCCGCAGCAUGCGCUCUAAAAAAUGUUAAAUAUCAGUUUAAAUGAAAACAAUUAUUUAACAUGUUACCAAGCUAUGGCUGAAAAUUACUUG
RNAcentral lists this long non-coding RNA (636 nucleotides) under Brachypodium distachyon (stiff brome). Its description in RNAcentral is "long non-coding RNA (BDIS_LNC004401)". Lineage: Eukaryota; Viridiplantae; Streptophyta; Magnoliopsida; Poales; Poaceae. The record is from RNAcentral.